RNAcentral lists this non-coding RNA (75 nucleotides) under Halanaerobium kushneri. Its description in RNAcentral is "c-di-GMP sequence". It matches the Rfam family "c-di-GMP-I riboswitch aptamer". From Rfam's summary of the family: GEMM was predicted in a large-scale screen for bacterial structured RNA regulatory elements. Genes associated with GEMM are involved in a diverse array of functions, including chemotaxis regulation, signal transduction, secretion and chitin. The record is from RNAcentral. Lineage: Bacteria; Bacillati; Bacillota; Clostridia; Halanaerobiales; Halanaerobiaceae.
AAGCAAAAAUAGCUAAGCAUUUGUAAAAAUGCGGCGCAAAGCCAUGGACCCAUUCAGGGCCGCCAGGCUGCCAGA